AAGUCGUAACAAGGUUUCCGUAGGUGAACCUGCGGAAGGAUCAUUACAAGGUUAACUGUCGUUCGCCCUCGGGCGCUUCGGCAGACCACGAUUCAUCCCUAUGUGCACUCAUCGAACAAAGGCCUCGGCGCAAAGUCUUCUCGUGGAGGACGAGCCAAAGGUUUUUAUUUUUUCAACUCGCUUCAAUUUUUUGCCUAACAUGUGAUUAUAAAUAAUCAAAUACAACUUUCAACAACGGAUCUCUUGGCUCUC
The sequence is an unclassified non-coding RNA, 252 nucleotides long. The stretch from base 1 to 46 matches the Rfam family "Eukaryotic small subunit ribosomal RNA", at positions 1786 to 1831 of the family's 1831-position model.